UUUGUUGGAAGUGGCUGGGCUUUUGGUCAAGCAACAUAAUGUGUGUAGGGAUCGAAUUUUAUGGGGAAGAUGGAUGGGUCUUCUGCUCCACUGAGUUACGUCUAAGAUGUGCCAUCAAGGCUGGGCUGACCCUGUCCAGACUUGUUGGCACACCUUAGACUCAACUUUACCUAACUUGUCCUUUUCUCCUGCACUACAGAGUUCUGCCUUCUCCGAGGGAAGCAAGGUGGCUUCGAGAACAAGAAGAGAAUUGACUCUGUCUACCUGGACCCCCUGGUCUUUCGAGAGUUUGCAUUCAUAGACAUGCCAGAUGCUGCGCAUGGGAUAUCUUCCCAGGAUGGACCAUUAAGUGUUUUAAAGCAAGCGACCCUGCUCCUGGAGAGGAAUUUCCAUCCAUUUGCGGAGCUGCCUGAGCCACAACAGACAGCUUUGAGUGACAUCUUCCAGGCGGUCCUAUUUGAUGAUGAACUACUCAUGGUCCUGGAACCAGUGGUGAGCCCUGAGACAUCUCAAGGCAGUGUUUUCACUGGGGUUUUCUGGAACAGGGGACGAGGCAGGAUGGAAUUGUGUUAAAGGUUCCCCC
Molecule: small RNA, 583 nt
Filed under: Pan troglodytes (chimpanzee)
Lineage: Eukaryota; Metazoa; Chordata; Mammalia; Primates; Hominidae
Description: retained intron
Source: RNAcentral